CAUCUAACACUACUAAAAGCCGAAUAAGAAGAGCAACGAGCGUGCCACGUAGGAUUUUUUAUUCAGGCCAAUCAUGAAGCUCUGUUUUGCCACGUCACUUUUAUUUUGUCGACAAAAAAUUUAAAAGGUCCAGUAAAUCUGGGCUGAACAAAAAAAAAUAGACCUAUAUAGAACAGCCCAUAUCUUAUUCUACGCAGAAUGUUCGUCGCCUUCAACUCCGACUCUUCCAAUUCACUAUUCUAAUCUCUGCAAUCUCUCUGUAAUUAUUACACCCCAAUCUUGCUCAUUCAAUUCUGAUAUUUUCUCCUAUCUUCAUUAGAGAUUAUCGUUCCACCUUCCUUUGUUUUUCCUGUUAUAUAAACCCCUUGAUGAUAUGAUAAGACAGGUCCGUUAACUAUUGUCAUUCCAGCCUGAGUUAUCUAAAAUAUGAACCCUCGAUUCCAGAUUCAUAACACAAUGACAAUUUGUUGUUCUCUACAUUUGAAAGUCAGUCGUAGAACUCGGCCUCACGCUGGUGCUGAUCGUCUUCUCCGUCGUCGUUUUAGAAGCUUGGAGAAGGAGACACAGUAACGUUUCUGUCGACACCGUGACAACUACACUCGAGGGUCCUACAUCUUAAAAACAGGUACUGUCUGAAUUCAAUAUAUUUUUUCUGGGAUUUUUCUGUUAGUGUGUUUACAGUUAAUGGAACUGAGAAAAGGUCUUGCCUUUGAAUCCUAUUAGCCUAUAGAACGUUUAAAGACGAGAGCUUUGACAUUAUUAUUAUUAUUAGUAUUUGUAGGAGAGUUUGUCUAACGAUGUGUGUUGUUUAAGAAAUAAAAGAGUAAAACAGACAGAUCGUGGAUGCGCAGUUGUAUGAUAAUAAUUUCAAGAGAGGAGCAAGCAAAAAGCUUCACUUGAGAAGGAAAUUCAUCAUACUGUCGGUAGAAAGAUAAGAAGAAAAGUUGAUGACGAGAUCAACAACAGAUUGAGUUUGGGAACACUUUUCUUCCAGCCUAACUUCCUGGUUACGGUUGAGCAGAUUCUUGAAGAUGCUCCCAAAGUCUUAGAUCUGCGAUUGGCUACUUUAUGAAAUCCAUUGAAGGGACAUGCUGGAUUAUCUAAUGAUGAUAAAGACGAAAACGGAAGGACUCUAGAGGUACAUGAAAUUAUCGAUACCUUUUUGAUGUAUCUUAAUACGGGUCAUGAAUCCUCUGGACACACGCAUUAUUUGGGCUACCCCCUCAGAUACUACAGAAGAUAAAUGUAAAAUAAUAAUAUAUGUUUAUAUAAUCCUUUUCCAUUUAUUUUUACAAGCUUGAAUAGUAAUUUUCCUUAUAUACACAGGGAUAACAAGAUGCGAUUGUUAAAAACUAAGCAGUGUACCAGAAAUUGAGUAAAAAACAGAGACGUACAAAUGUACAAUGACUUACUACUACCUUUCUCAGGCGUCUCAUUGCAAAACAAGUUUAAGGCGUCUAAAAUUAAUACAUCUUAUUUAUAGGGAAGCUAAUGUUUGCUUCAUCAUCGGUGACACAAUUUUACUUUGGCAACACAAUACAAAUCAUUAGAGACUUCAGAAGCAUGAUAAGAGUCAAGUUUAAUGCAUGAGUUUGAACAAAACAACACCAAACUCAGAGGAUGAUCUUCAAGAAAACUUAACUAAAAUCAACAUUUCAAGUCUUUCAGACUGUCUAAUAAUUUAGAUAGCAUAAUCAGUCGUCUAAGUAUAAAAUAUUUAUAUUCAAAUAUGUUUGCUUCAUCAUCGGUGACACAAUUUUACUUUGGCAACACAAUACAAAUCAUUAGAGACUUCAGAAGCAUGAUAAGAGUCAAGUUUAAUGCAUGAGUUUGAACAAAACAACACCAAACUCAGAGGAUGAUCUUCAAGAAAACUUAACUAAAAUCAACAUUUCAAGUCUUUCAGACUGUCUAAUAAUUUAGAUAGCAUAAUCAGUCGUCUAAGUAUAAAAUAUUUAUAUUCAAAUAUGAAUUCUAAAAUAAUCUUAAUUUAAUUUAAAUAUAUGAAAAA
Molecule: long non-coding RNA, 2011 nt
Organism: Brassica napus (rape)
Lineage: Eukaryota; Viridiplantae; Streptophyta; Magnoliopsida; Brassicales; Brassicaceae
Exons: 4
Source: RefSeq, a predicted model, not a curated record